ACUCAUAUUUGGAUGAAAUAAAAAACAUAAAUAAACAAAAUGAUUUCACGAACUAUGAUAAAUCGUCCGGCGUCCGGAAAACAUAUUGCCAAAACGCUGCGCUGCAUCUGAAAACCCUGGAAAGAAUUAGGCUGCAUUACAGACAUCCUUUCAAGAAUCAUGCAAAAGCCGGUGGAAACGGAAGUGACUUUGGGAAAGUUUUUCAAACCGCUUUGGAUAGGAGGCUUGUUGUAAUGUCUUCUAUGAUCUCAUGAGGUAUGGAACUUAUGACCUGGAAAGAUACAACGCUCUUACGAUUGUUUCUCCAGCAACCCAGGGUUCUAUAACUGGCCAAGUGUUUGUCGCAGUUAACCAACGCUCGAACUAAGUGCCGUGUUCCAACCAGGAUAUUAUGUUUCAUUUUUUUCGUUUACUGGUAAUUAGAUUUGUACGGUUUGAAUUCUUUAACCACCGAGCAAGACUAUUGCAACUGUUUCAACGAAUAGGACUCUGGAUCUUGGAAGCAGGUCGUCAUUAAGCACUAAUUCGUGAAGGAAGCUAAACCGGCGUUCAUUUAGGUGCAGUAUUCUCGGAACAAUUUAUCGACGGAUUCCAAUAAACGAAGGACAAAUGUAAGCGGAUGGAUGCAUACAACGCUCUUACGAUUGUUUCUCCAGCAACCCAGGGUUCUAUAACUGGCCAAGUGUUUGUCGCAGUUAACCAACGCUCGAACUAAGUGCCGUGUUCCAACCAGGAUAUUAUGUUUCAUUUUUUUCGUUCACUGGUAAUUAGAUUUGUACGGUUUGAAUUCUUUAACCACCGAGCAAGACUAUUGCAACUGUUUCAACGAAUAGGACUCUGGAUCUUGGAAGCAGGUCGUCAUUAAGCACUAAUUCGUGAAGGAAGCUAAACCGGCGUUCAUUUAGGUGCAGUAUUCUCGGAACAAUUUC
This is a long non-coding RNA of Armigeres subalbatus, 929 nucleotides long. RefSeq lists it as uncharacterized. The transcript is spliced from 6 exons. Lineage: Eukaryota; Metazoa; Arthropoda; Insecta; Diptera; Culicidae. The record is from RefSeq and is a predicted model, not a curated record.